Long non-coding RNA from Zingiber officinale, 298 nucleotides. RefSeq lists it as uncharacterized. The transcript has 4 exons. Lineage: Eukaryota; Viridiplantae; Streptophyta; Magnoliopsida; Zingiberales; Zingiberaceae. The record is from RefSeq and is a predicted model, not a curated record.
CCAUCCUGAUGUUGAGUUUGUGGACAAAGAAGCAGUCGCAGUUACCAGUGUGUCUUGGAAGGCAACUUUCUACAAUGGACCAAGCUCUACGGACUUCAUAAAUGUCCAUGACAUUUUUCUUGAAUGUGAUCAUGAUUCAAUCAUAUACCUUGGGAAGUCUGUUGAACCAACAAUAUAUGAUCUUUUGGGUGAUCAAGAGGUUGAAAUCUGCUUGUUGAAAAAUGGAAAACCAUCAUGGACGAAGAAGAAGUUUCUUUGCUCCAAAGUCAGGUUGUUGCGUCUUAAGACUGGCUUGAGG